This 870-nucleotide ribosomal RNA is filed under the name uncultured marine group I thaumarchaeote. RNAcentral describes it as "SSU rRNA". It matches the Rfam family "Archaeal small subunit ribosomal RNA", at positions 27 to 904 of the family's 1478-position model. Lineage: Archaea; Thermoproteati; Nitrososphaerota. The record is from RNAcentral.
CUGCUAUCGGAUGAUACUAAGCCAUGCGAGUCUUUGUAGUAAUACAAGGCAGACGGCUCAGUAACACGUAGUCAACCUACUCUAUGGACAAGAAUAAUCUCGGGAAACUGGGCAUAAUUCUUGAUAGAUCAUAAUGCCUGGAAUGGUUUAUGGUUAAAAUGAUUCGUCGCCAUAGGAUGGGACUGCGGCCUAUCAGCUUGUUGGUGAGGUAAUGGCCCACCAAGGCGAUUACAGGUACGGGCUCUGAGAGGAGAAGCCCGGAGAUGGGUACUGAGACACGGACCCAGGCCCUAUGGGGCGCAGCAGGCGAGAAAACUUUGCAAUGUGCGAAAGCACGACAAGGUUAAUCCGAGUGAUUUCUGCUAAAGAAAUCUUUUGCCAGUCAUAAAACCACUGGUGAAUAAGGGGUGGGCAAGUUCUGGUGUCAGCCGCCGCGGUAAAACCAGCACCUCAAGUGGUCAGGAUGAUUAUUGGGCCUAAAGCAUCCGUAGCCGGCUUUGUUAGUUUUCGGUUAAAUCCAUGUGCUCAACGCAUGGGCUGCCGAAAAUACUGCAUGGCUAGGGAGUGGGAGAGGUAGACGGUACUCAGUAGGAAGGGGUAAAAUCCUUUGAUCUAUUGAUGACCACCUGUGGCGAAGGCGGUCUACCAGAACACGUUCGACGGUGAGGGAUGAAAGCUGGGGGAGCAAACCGGAUUAGAUACCCGGGUAGUCCCAGCUGUAAACGAUGCAGACUCGAUGAUGCAUUGGCAUAAUAGCCAGUGCAGUGUCGCAGGGAAGCCGUUAAGUCUGCCGCCUGGGAAGUACGUACGCAAGUAUGAAACUUAAAGGAUUGGCGGGGGAGCACCACAAAGGGUGAAGCCUGCGGUUCA